GUCGAGAAUCUUUCACAAUGGGGGCAACCCUGAUGGAGCGACGCCGCGUGGAGGAUAAGGUCUUCGGAUUGUAAACUCCUGUCAUGCGUGAACAAGGUUGCUUGGUUAAUACCUGGGCAAAUUGAUGGUAACGCAAGAGGAAGAGACGGCUAACUCUGUGCCAGCAGCCGCGGUAAUACAGAGGUCUCAAGCGUUGUUCGGAAUCACUGGGCGUAAAGGGUGCGUAGGUGGCGUGGUGAGUCAGAUGUGAAAGCCCGGGGCUCAACCUCGGAACUGCAUCCGAUACUGCCAUGCUAGAGUACUGGAGAGGUGACUAGAAUUCUCGGUGUAGCAGUGAAAUGCGUAGAUAUCGAGAGGAAUACCAAAGGCGUAGGCAGGUCACUGGACAGUUACUGACACUGAGGCACGAAGGCCAGGGGAGCGAACGGGAUUAGAAACCCUGGUAGUCC
RNAcentral lists this ribosomal RNA (449 nucleotides) under uncultured bacterium. Its description in RNAcentral is "partial 16S ribosomal RNA". It matches the Rfam family "Bacterial small subunit ribosomal RNA", at positions 354 to 796 of the family's 1533-position model. The record is from RNAcentral.